AUACGUAGGUGACAAGCGUUAUCCGGAUUUACUGGGCGUAAAGGGCGUGUAGGCGGUCUUGCAAGUCAGAAGUGAAAUUCCUGAGCUCAACUCGGGCGCUGCUUCUGAAACUGCAGGGCUUGAGUGCUGGAGGGGAUAGCGGAAUUCCUAGUGGAGCGGUAAAAUGCGCAGAUAUUAGGAGGAACACCAGUGGCGAAGGCGGCCUGCUGGACGACAACUGACGCUGAGGCGCGAAAGCGUGGGGAGCAAACAGGAUUAGAUACCCUGGUAGUCCACGCUGUAAACGAUGAAUACUAGGUGUGGGGGGACUGACCCCCUCCGUGCCGGAGUUAACACAUUAAGUAUUCCACCUGGGGAGUACGGCCGCAAGGUUGAAACUCAAAUGAAUUGACGGGG
This 396-nucleotide ribosomal RNA is filed under the name uncultured bacterium. Its description in RNAcentral is "partial 16S ribosomal RNA". It matches the Rfam family "Bacterial small subunit ribosomal RNA", at positions 523 to 918 of the family's 1533-position model. The record is from RNAcentral.